AUGUACAGAGUUGUUCCUAUACAACAAAGCUUGCUGACGCCGGAAACAACGGCCUUGCCGCCGGUAGAGACCAUCCACCUGACGCCGUGGGAUCUGAAGUCUAUCACGGUGGAGCACAUCCAGAAGGGCGUCCUCCUGCCCAAGCCUCCCACUACUGGAGGACACGUCGACGUCGAGCGUCUAGCUUCUUCCUUUGGGCGCGCCAUUGGCCGCUUCUACCCAUACGCCGGGCGCCUCGACGCCGCUGUCGUGCCGGCUAGCAAUGACGGAGCGUCGCCUCAGUGCCAGAGCCUCACCAUUUCGCUCCGCUGCGGCGGCGAGGGCGCCGAGUUCAUCCACGCCGUGGCUCCCAGCGUCACCGUCGCCGACAUCACCGCCUCGCUCUUGGUUCCGCGGGUGGUGUGGUCCUUCUUCCCGCUCGACGGGCUGCUGGGUGCGGACGCCAUUGAGGGGUCGCUCCCGCUCCUGGCCGCACAGGUCACUGAGCUCGCCGACAGCGUCUUCAUCGCCGUUUCGAUGAACCACAGCGUCGCGGACCGUAUGACAUUCUGGCAAUUCUUCAACACCUGGUCCGAACUAAGCCGUGCCGGUGGGAACGACGAUGUUAUGAUCUCGACACCGUUGCCGGUGUUCGACAGAAGUUUCCUAGGCAGCUUCACCGUCCCCAUCCCUCUGCCCUUCGGCAAGCUGGAGGAUGUCGUGGGCCAGCGUGUACAUUUGUUCCCUUCUGUGCAGGAAUGCUUCCUCCAUUUCUCGGCGGCAAGUGUAAAGAAUCUCAAGACGAAGGCGAACGAUGAGAUGUCCGGCUACGGCAUCACUAGCACCAUCUUCUCGCUGCAGGCCCUGCUGGCGCACCUGUGGCGUGCCGUGUGUCGAGCCCGCCGACUUGCGCCGGACCAGGAGACAACGUACACUGUGCUUGUGGGAUGCCUUGGCCGCGUUGGCGGCAUACCAGCGUCCUAUGCGGGCAAUACAGUGGAGCACGGCACUGCCAAGUGUACAGCCCGUGAUAUCCUAGACAAGGGCCUUGGCUGGGCCGCAUGGCUCCUCAACGAGGCCGUGGCGUCGUUCGACACGGCCUACGCGAGCGACAAGCUAGCAUCCUGGCCCCAAGAGCCUAGGUUCAUGCGCCUGCCUGAGCUCGCCGCGGUUCGACAUGUAUGGGAACGACUUCGGAUGGGGCGCGCCGGUGACUGUUCGGAGCGGCGCAGGGAACAAGAUAGAUGGCAAGGCGACGGUGUACAAGGGCCGAGGCUGUGGAGGGAGCAUUGCUCUGGAGGUGUGCCUAGCCCCACAGGCGCUCGCUAG
This 1308-nucleotide ribosomal RNA is filed under the name Triticum aestivum (bread wheat). RNAcentral describes it as "partial small subunit ribosomal RNA". The record is from RNAcentral. Lineage: Eukaryota; Viridiplantae; Streptophyta; Magnoliopsida; Poales; Poaceae.